ACACUUUUGACAAUGGAUAUCUUGGCUCCUACAACGAUGAAGAACACAGCGAAAUGUGAUACGUAGUGUGAAUUGCAGAACUCAGUGAACCAUCAAGUUUUUGAACGCAUAUUGCGCCCCCAGGCUCUCCUGGGAGCAUGCCUGUUCGAGUAUCAUUCU
Molecule: ribosomal RNA, 159 nt
Filed under: Cyanoptyche gloeocystis
Lineage: Eukaryota; Glaucocystophyceae
Description: 5.8S ribosomal RNA
Rfam family: 5.8S ribosomal RNA
About the family: 5.8S ribosomal RNA (5.8S rRNA) is a component of the large subunit of the eukaryotic ribosome.
Source: RNAcentral